CCCUUAGAUGUCCUGGGCCGCACGCGUGCUACACUGACGCCUACAGCGAGUACUUCCCAGCCCCGAGAGGUGGCUGGUAAUCAGCAAUAGGCGUCGUGAUGGGGAUAGAUCUUUGGAAUUAUGGAUCUUGAACGAGGAAUGCCUAGUAAGCGCAGGUCAUUAGCCUGCGCUGAUUAAGUCCCUGCCCUUUGUACACACCGCCCGUCGCUCCUACCGAUUUCGAGUGGUCCGGUGAAUCUUUCGGACUGCGCGCGGCCUCGUGCCGUGCCGCGGAAAGUCAGGUAAACCUUAUCACUUAGAGGAAGGAGAAGUCGUAACA
This 319-nucleotide ribosomal RNA is filed under the name uncultured eukaryote. Its description in RNAcentral is "partial 18S ribosomal RNA". It matches the Rfam family "Eukaryotic small subunit ribosomal RNA", at positions 1470 to 1796 of the family's 1831-position model. The record is from RNAcentral.